RNAcentral lists this long non-coding RNA (3147 nucleotides) under Homo sapiens (human). RNAcentral describes it as "HSALNT0081071". The record is from RNAcentral. Lineage: Eukaryota; Metazoa; Chordata; Mammalia; Primates; Hominidae.
GACUUAUGUUGCAUAGAAUUAAAACCCUCCCCAGAGUUCAUAGUUUUAAACAAAUAUGCAUACAUAUCCAAAUACAUAUUAAAUCCAAAGCAAACAAUAACUUUAUGUUGACAGUGAAAAAUGCAACCUUACAUACAUAGUCUACAAAACAACUGAAAAAUUUUAAAUGCCAGAUAUGAGGAAGCCAAAGAAUUUUAACAAUGAGAAAUAUGUUAUGAAUUAAAAUAUUCAAUCUUGAAAACCUUUAAAAGUGAAAGUUGCACUGUAACUGCUUUCUAAGGUAAUUUUUGCCACUUUUAGGAAAAAAGAUGUUUACGUAACAUUUUUAAAAGUACAAUCAUUUCUUACAUAGCUUUAUGAUUGAGGAUAACAUUAGUAUGCACAUACAACAUAACACACAAAAGCAAAGCUUAGAAUAACAUUUUAAUUAUGUUUUAGUGUAUGUGAAAUAAUUUGUUUUUCUCAAUUAUAUUCCUGGGUCAAGGCCUAAAACAUUUAUUUGAACCAGCUAUAUAUCUUAUUUUCAUAAGGGUCUCAGGAGGCAGUAGUCAUAUGUUGUUACUUCAGCCCUCCACAAAGGCAAUACAGUACAGAUCUCUGUACUGUAAACGACAACAAGGACCAGUCACAAUUUCAGUUCUUGUUACAUUGAUAAGACUCCUUCAGAAAGCAAUGAAGAGAAAAGCUGAAGUCAGUGAUUAGGAGUGUCUGUGUAAGUAAAAGCAACAGGCAAUUACUGAGUGUGGUGUGAGAGGCACGGAAAGAUUGGGAAUUCAGCAAGAAGAGGAAUUGAAGUCAAACCUCACCUACUUCCCAGAGUCUUCUGGAUUUUCUGUUAGAAGCUUCAGUAUCUGAGAUAUUCCUAUGCAUUCUACUGCUUUAAUCCCACCUAAGUAGAGAUGUCCACAACAGAGAGAAUGGAGCUGUCACAUCGUUUCAACUGCCCAGGUAGUUCCUACUGGAUGAAUGGGAUUGUCACCUUCACACCUGCUAGAGGCUUGGAGCAUGCAAGAGUUUUUUUAAAUGGCUUCACCUUUCUUAUGAAAAUGCAACCACUAGUACUCUUCCAAUAAAAGCUUUUCUCAAGUGAAAGGACUCAGGCAACAAAUAAACAGCUAAGAUUUUACUAGAGUAUGAAAGGGAGAGCACUGGAGUGCAGUGCGGGGAUGGAGAUGCAGCUGUGGUGGCUGGAAGUACAGGAGGGCAGCUGGAGGCACCUGGCCUCUGAAGCCUGUCUUCUUCAUCUGGGUGAGAUCUGCUGGAGUCAGGAAGGACUUCCUGCUGCAAGGAUAAAGGUAAGCAGAAGAUCUCCACCAGUGCCCACUGCCAUCACAAACACCUACAAUCCUUAUAGCAGGUGAAUCCAGCAGUCCUCACAAGUCCUGAGACAGGUUUGGAGUCUUGCUGGGAAUUCACACAGCUGCAUUGUCCUAGAUUAGGAGAACAAGGUGUGGACCCCCAACCCUCUAUUCAUCCCCUGUGAGCCAUGGUGCUAUAGCAUGGCACCAUACUGAGACCAGAGCUACUUCUGCAGUGUGCCCUGCUCUGAGGGCCAGUAGCCACUUCACCUCUCCAGCACUUGGGCUCCAUCUUCAUUCCACCAAGCCCAUAUGGGAAGCUGAACACCUCAAUCCCAGAUUCGUAAAGCAUGGGCCAAGGAUGGGCUGUGGCUCUGGUCCUGUUCUGUUCAGGGUGAACCUGCCCUUGAGCUGGCCAAACUGCUGCAUACCCUCCCCAAAGCAGGAGAGGCCCCCAAGCCUGUGAGCAGCUGAUAUGCUCCAGGGCCAGUGAAGUGGCUAUGUGCUUGCACCCAGGAACUGAGAAACAGUCCCACAGCACACCUGCACCCUCCAGAGAGAGCCCUGGCCUGCCCCAGUGGCCCUGUAUCCCCAUUCAGGGCCUGAGAAACAAUUCCUCAGGCCACUCUUGGCAGGUAUGAUACUAAGCUGACCAAAUAGCCAAAAACACCUAUCCCAGACCUGAGUAUCAGCCCUGUGGGCCAAUCCAGGUGGACAUGCCCCAGGCUGGCCAAGCAGCCAUGUACCCACAUUCCGGGCCUGAGAAACAGUUUUUUGGGCUGCUGUUGGUGAGGACACCCCUGAGCCAACCAAGCAUCCUUGCAAUUGUGUUUCAGACCUAAGAAGCAUCAUGACCUGAGAAACAGUUUCACAGGCCACUCUUGGCAGGUAUGAUCCCAGGCUGGCCAUACAGCCAAAAGCCCACAUCCUACAUCUGAGUAACAGCCCAGGCUGACAUGACCCCAGGGCAGACAUGACCCCAGGCUGGCUGCCUAUUGAGUAAUUUCUUACGUUUUGCCUCCUCACAAAUGAAAUGCUAUCAUUUGUGAAAAUAUAAAUAGAAUUGGAGGAUAUUAUGUUAAGUGAAAUAAACCAUGAACAGAAAGUUAAACACUACAUGUUCUCAUUCAUAUUUGGAAGGUAAGAAAACGUUGAACUCAUAGAAGUAAAAUAGAACAGAGGAUACCUGAUGCUGGGAAAACUUGGGGGAAGGGAAGGAUAGGAAGGGAUUUGUUAAAGAAUAUAAAAGUUAAACUGGAUGAAAGGAAGUUCUUGUGUUCUCUACCACUGUAGGAUGACUAUAGUUAACAAUAAUAUAUCAUGUAGUUUAAAUAGCUAGAAGGAGGAUAUUGAAUGUUCCUAAUACAAAGAAAUGAUAAAAAUUUGAGAUGAUGGAUAUGCUAAUUAUGCUGAUCUGAUCACUGUCUAUUUAUCAACACCUCAUUAUAUAUCCUAAGAAUAUGUACAAUAACUAUUUGUCAAUCUAAAAAAUUAGAUAAAAAUUGUUUUGUCUUUUCUGGGUACUUUACAUGUUCAUAUAUAUUUUUGAGUCAGCUUGUCAAUUUCUACAACAAAAGCUUGUUGGGAUUUUGAUUGAGAUUAUGCUGAAUUUAUAACUUGUGAAGAAUUGAUUUCUUUACAAUAUUGGACCUUCCAAUACAUGAACAUAGUAUAUGUCUCCAUUUGUUUAGGUGUUCUUUAAUUUUUUUAAACAAUGUUUUGAAAUUUCCAGGAUUUUUCACUGAUUUAGUUAAAUUGAUCCUUAAAUAUUUAGCUUUUGAUGCUGUUAUUUUUAUUGAAAAUUUCUAAUUGUUACAUUCUAAUACAUGAAAACAGUAUAUAUCGUGAA